GAGUAAACGCUGCUCCUAAGUCGUAUGCGCAAAAAUAAUUAUCUUGGGAAAAAGUUUCUUCUUUCUCUCACUGCUCAUUGGUUUGAGCUUCAGAGAUCGCACGACGCGAUACAAGCUCUACAAAUUUCAAAUCAGAGAUCUUAACUUCUACAUUCAAAUUAUUCCUUUAUCUUCUAUUUUUUCUGAGUGUAUCUGUAUGUACACAUACAUAUAAUACCAUAUAUAUACAAUAAAGCUGUGUUUGGUAGGUCAAUAAAUUGUAGUAUAUAUCCGGUCAGGAGAUAUCCCUGGUGGGGUUUUUCUGGGUUUUCGAUUUUGUCAAAUGGGUCGUUGAGUUUUUUUUUUGGUUUUAAAGGAGGUUUUGUAGAGUAAGAAACUGUCUCUCGAGGGUUGUUAAUAGCUUACUUUUUGCUAUCUUUUAUCUUCUAUUAAUGUAAUUUUUCAAUUUUGAUGAUUUCGGUGGGUAGUAUGGAUGGGAGAAAAUUGUCGGGUUUAGGGUCAGAAAUGGAAGUGAACGAACUCGAAGAAGGAGAGGCCGGCUGUUUGCUGAAUGAUGGCGACGCUUCUACCAUUGACCCUGAUAUUACUCUCUCUUACAUUGUAAGUUCAUUUUUUUUAUUAAUUUUUCUUGUAAUUAGUUUAAGCUGGAUGCAGUCUAAUUUAUGAAUAUUCAUAGACAUCCUGUUCACUUGUCAAUUAUAAGCUGGAUGUAGUAUGAUUUAUGAAUAGAUAUCCUGUUCAGUUCUCAAUUAUGUGUGCUAUUUCUGUUUAUUGUUAGUUACUUAUGCCUAAUAAUUUCGUUCCAAGAAUAUGUUAAUAAAAGGGAUAACUGGUGUUUCGUAUUUAAUUAAUUCUUGUUCAGACUUAGUUAAGAGAGAUAAAAAAUACUAUGUUUGGGCAUUAUUAAUGAUGUAUGGUACACUGUGUCUAGUUUUUGAACUUCCGAAGAUGGCUAGAGUAGGACUAGAGAUAAUGAUCUGUCAUAAAGAGUUGUAGAAGUUAGUCAUUGUUGGUGUCUUGGUUAGAAUGUGUCUUUAAUGUGUUAUUUUGCACUUUUGAAGGGGGAGAAACUCCAAAAUGUUCUCGGACAUUUUCAGAAAGAUUUUGAAGGUGGAGUUUCAGCUGAGAAUUUGGGUGAGUUGACACGAAGAAUGACUGAUCACAAAAAAUUCGAGGGUCACACUAAUGUGGCUUAGAGUAUGAAGUACUGAUGGGACUUUAAUUGCCUAACAGGGGCAAAAUUUGGCGGCUAUGGUUCAUUUUUACCAACUUAUCAACGGUCUCCUUCUUCGUCUCGUCCAAAGAGUUCACCCGAAGUUCAUAACUAUAGUGCGCCCAAAUUCCUAAACAAUCUGCAUUCGGAGGUAGAUAGUUUUAAAUUUGAAUCUAUACUUUUUCUGUUCAUGAUUCUCUACAGCACAAUGGAACAAGGACUUGUCUCCCCUGACAUGAAAAUUCUAGUUUACUUGAACACUCUGAGUUGUAUACGAUACAGGACAGUAGGGAAAACUCAUUCGCUUUGACAAGUGAUUCUCUAUCUUCAAGGCCUGGAGCAUCUUCAGGAAAGACUGCAGCCAUAUGCGAUCCUGUGAAAAGGGAUGUCUCCACCCUGUCCACACAUGCUGAAGAGGUCACUUCAAACAUCGGGCUUGUUAAGAUGUCUGGUAAUCCUUCUGAACAAAGAACUUUGAAGGUCCGAAUCAAAGUUGAUGCUGAAAAUUUGUCGACACGACAGAAUGCUGAAAUCUACAGUGGACUUGGUCUUGAUGUAUCUCCAUCAUCUUCAUUAGAUGAUAAUCCAGUAGUUAAUGAAGGUUUAUGUGGUAACAAUCAGGAUGUGCCAGACAAAUCUCCGACUAGUAUUCUUCAGGUGAAUAAUAGUCCCUCAUCAUUCAUCUCGACUUUCUGAUUCUUUCUCUCUUUCUUUUUUUCAUUUUUCUUUUAAUGGUAAAUCAACCUGAUAUUAUGAGGUUUAUUUUGACACUGUACUAUUACUGCAUCGGAACAGAUUAUGACAUCAUUUCCUGCCCACGGGAGCCUUCUUUUAUCCCCUCUAUCCGAUGAUCUGAUUCGUCUCUUUGAAAAAGGAAAGUUUAGGGGGAAGAUCCAAUCCAAACUCGUGCAUAAAGAAACCUUGGAAAGUUCUUUGAUGUUAAUUGGUGGGUCUCCAUCUAGUAGGAGAAAUCAGAAAGUUUUAAAGAAAUGGAUGUCAUCUGAAAGGGAUGACACAUUUUCUACACAAUUCAUAAGCGAGAAGAACAACGAUAGUCUGGUGAAGAAGGAAACUGAUAUUGACAUUUUAGGUUGUGAGGAACUUGUUUCUAAUGCUCUUAAACUCCCGCUUUUAUCAAGUUCACAGCAUGGUGAUGGUAUUCCCAUGAAUGGUACCUCUAGGGAAGUUGAUAUUUCUUCUAAAGAUGGGGUGACGGACAAAACCUGCUCUGGACCGAUAGAGAAGGAAAUUUUCAGGAGUUUGUUUGCUCAAGAUAUUGACAGGGUUGAGGAGUACGAUGAAGAUCUGCAUCCACUGGACAAGGUUUCGGAAAAUAAAAAUGCAAAUUUUGGGUUUGACAGUGCUGAUUUUCCACAGGAUGAUGCCCAAAAAGCAGAAAAAGUUCAAUUUGAGUCAAAUUUCUGUAAGGGGAUAAAGGCUUCUGAUGCUGAAGCGAAACAAUUGGAAGUUCAGAAAGAAGCAUACAGUAAUGAGGAAGGUGUGAAACUUACUCCUGGAAAGGAGCAUAUAUCUUCAGCAUCCAGGAAGAAAUCAAAAGAAGUUCAGAGUGUUUCAAAAGAUCAGUUAAUGCAUGAUUCUUCUUUGAUGCCUAAAAGUAGGAAGGGCUCUCUUGGUAACAAUCUUAUGUCUAAAAAUGAUUCACUUGAUUUCAAGAGGGACCAUGGAAAGCCUGGAGACAGAUAUAAGGACUUCUUUGGAGACCUAGAACUUGAAGAAGAAGAUAGUGAAUCGAUUUCAGGGGAAAUCCCUUCCUCGAGAAUUUUGAAGGACUCUCAGCUAAUUGAAAAGAGGAGCAUCAUUGAAUCUCACAAUGCAUCAAAGGAGAAAAGUGAUGUUAAAAGAAUAAAAAAGCCACCUUCCUAUUCUGAAAUGGCUUCGAGAAUGGCCCCUCAAACUGUAAGUGGGCCCACUUCUGAUGCUACCUCUGCAGGAGUGGAUCCUUUUGUCCAAGAAGAUUGGGUCCUGUGUGAUAGGUGUCAACGGUGGAGACUUCUUCCACUUGGUACAAAUCCUCAGAGUCUUCCUGAUAAAUGGCGUUGUAGGAUGCUCACCUGGCUGUAAGUUUUGUCAAUGUUAUAUUUAUAAACUAUUGGCUAGUAAAAAAGAACAACAAUUUAUCUCAAAUAUAUAUGGAAUAAGGCUUAUUUUGUUUCUGUAACAAGAAACGUGCUGCUCCAAAAGACAUUCUGCAUGCGCAUGCAUGUGCUUAGAGUACUCGACUCUUGAUAAUUUGAACAUUUCUCUAGGCCUGGAAUGAACCACUGUAGUAUCCCUGAGGACCAGACUACAAAGGCUUUACGUGCCCUCUACCAUCUUGCUCCUACUUCAGGUCCUGCCCCUGCUUCUGAGAGCCAACACAAUCCCCUUAAUUAUCCUGCUAGGACUUUGUUGGGAGUAUCAUCAGCUGAUGCUAAGUGUCUCGGUGAUGAACGACAAAAUAUUUGUUCUCAAGAUAGAGUCAAUGGGAAGAAAAAACACGGGUCAAUAGAUGUGAAAAAUUCAAAUGACUUAGAUGAUCCCACUCACGUUUCAGACUCGCAGAAAAAGGACGUUAAGGUACCAGGCAAAACUGGAGCGAACUACUCUCCUUCUGUUGAUGCAUAUCAGCAUUUGCGCCACUCUAGUAGUGUAGUUGUAGAGAAGCACAAGGAUGAUAAGAAAGAGAAAAAGUCAUCACUAGAGG
This 3917-nucleotide long non-coding RNA is filed under the name Olea europaea subsp. europaea. The record is from RNAcentral. Lineage: Eukaryota; Viridiplantae; Streptophyta; Magnoliopsida; Lamiales; Oleaceae.